This 374-nucleotide unclassified non-coding RNA is filed under the name soil metagenome. RNAcentral's name for it is "partial contains 5.8S ribosomal RNA, internal transcribed spacer 2, and large subunit ribosomal RNA". The stretch from base 1 to 120 matches the Rfam family "5.8S ribosomal RNA", at positions 35 to 154 of the family's 154-position model. The record is from RNAcentral.
GAUGAAGAACGUAGCGAAAUGCGAUAAGUAAUGUGAAUUGCAGAAUUCAGUGAAUCAUCGAAUCUUUGAACGCACAUUGCGCCCGCCAGUAUUCUGGCGGGCAUGCCUGUUCGAGCGUCAUUUCAACCCUCAAGACCCCUUCGGGGGACUUGGUGUUGGGGACCGGCACAGGGGCCUGCCUGCUUGUCUUGCAGCGCCCUCGCCGCCCCCGAAAUGAAUUGGCGGCCUCGUCGCGGCCUCCCCUGCGUAGUAGCACAAACCUCGCAACGGGAACGUGACGGCGGCCACUGCCGUAAAACAACCCAAUUUUAUUAGAGUUGACCUCGAAUCAGGUAGGAAUACCCGCUGAACUUAAGCAUAUCAUAAGCGGAGGA